This 651-nucleotide ribosomal RNA is filed under the name Triticum aestivum (bread wheat). RNAcentral describes it as "partial small subunit ribosomal RNA". Lineage: Eukaryota; Viridiplantae; Streptophyta; Magnoliopsida; Poales; Poaceae. The record is from RNAcentral.
AUGGCCAUGACGAUCAUCUCCCGGUCCAUCGACGACUCGACGCUGCUGCAGGUUGCGGAGAAGGAGACCGCAUCCGAUGUGUGGGCGGCGCUACGCUCCAUGCAUGUGGGCGUCGAGCGUGUCCGAGAGGCGAGAGUUCAAUCCUUGCGAUCGGAGUUUGAUGGCCUCAAGAUGGGUGAUGUGGAGUCCGUGGAUGAUUUCGCGGCGAGGUUCAUGACGCUCGUGGGGCGCAUCGGUGAGCUUGGUGAUGCAAUGGAGGAGAAGUACGUCGUGAAGAAGCUGAUCCGAGCCGUCUCCAACAAGUUCAUCCACGUUGCGUCAUCGAUUGCGUUGUUCGGCGACACCAACAAGAUGGCCAUGGAGGAGGCCAUUGGUUCACUCAAGGCGCACGAGGAGCUCGUCAAGGGGCGGGAGACGGCACGUGAAGAAGAUCAGCUCCUCAUGGCGAGAGGGCAUGACUCAUCGCGAGGACGCGGCCGUGGUGGCCGUGGCCGCGGACAUGGCCGCGGUGGAGGGCGCAGAGACAAGAGCGAGGUACAGUGCUAUAACUGUGAUGACUUUGGGCAUCUUGCUUGGGAGUGUCCGGAGAAGAAGAAGGACACCGAGGAGAAGGCACUGCUCGGCGUUGAGGACGAGCCAGCUCUUCUCUGA